CUGCCCUCCAGCACGGCUGGGUAUUGGGAGCUGUCCCGCACGGGACACACCCGAAAGGCAGUGGCGGCGUCGCGUCGGUCCUCGAGCGUAUGGAGCUUUGUCACCUGCUCGGGAGGGACUUGCGGGCGUCGGUCUUCUAUUGACUGGUCUCUCUAGGGACUAGUCUUCUAC
RNAcentral lists this unclassified non-coding RNA (171 nucleotides) under uncultured Talaromyces. Its description in RNAcentral is "sequence contains ITS2". The record is from RNAcentral. Lineage: Eukaryota; Fungi; Ascomycota; Eurotiomycetes; Eurotiales; Trichocomaceae.